Molecule: long non-coding RNA, 1189 nt
Organism: Triticum aestivum (bread wheat)
Lineage: Eukaryota; Viridiplantae; Streptophyta; Magnoliopsida; Poales; Poaceae
Exons: 2
Source: RefSeq, a predicted model, not a curated record
UUGGUUGCAAAAAGAAAAAGUCUCUCUUGCUGCCACUCUGCUUCCCCCACCCCCGCUGAGGCGACCCUGAUGCCAUCGUGCACAACUUCAUCUCACAGCGCAGGCGCCCCAGCGGGGGCUGCGUGCAGUGCCUGAGCCUCCCGCUCAGCCCUGCCAUCAGGGUUUCCUCUGGCUCGCCUUCUUGCGCUUCCGUCAUCAACCUUGUGGACUCGACAUAGGUGGUGACCGAGCGGAAGAUGCUGAGUGGCUGGGAUGCGGCUGGCAAUGAGCGCGGGCUCAGGGGCAAUUUCUUUGUAUUUAUCUCCCUAGGUUCGCCAAAUUAAAGUUGAGUGUUGUACACAAGUUACUAAUUGUUGCUGCCUCAGUCUACAGCUUGACGGCGCAAGGCAUCGCUCACACCAGCGUGGCCUCCCGUGCUCCUAGCCUCGACCCUCCUUGCCUCCUAGCUGUGAGGAUGUGAUUGCAGUGGCUUGAUCCUUGCGGCCCCGUCAAGGAGGAGCAGUAGGCGUGAACUCCACCAUGGGCAUUCUCGCUCCUCAUCGACCUUGAUAUUGUUACCUCCAUUGUGAAGCCCAACGUAAACAGGAUGAAUGCGAGCUUGCUGGCGGGAGCAACCUCGGUAAGAGCAGGGAAGGUGCCAGGCUAGAACCACACAUUUAUCGUUUGGUUGCGUGAGCAGGUUUACGAGAGGCAUCUCCGAGUGAAAAUUCCAGUCAGUUUUCUCCAUAUAUCUAAAGCCACAAUAAGCACCCUAAGAGGAUUUGGUAUGAUGGUACUUGGGUAACUCGUUAUUAUGUUCAGAAACCAGAAUAAUGGCUUCCACUUCGUGUUAGCAAAGGCGCGGGACAAGGAAUCAACCACCACAAACUCCUCAUGUACGUCGUCAAACAUCGUUUGCAUCCGCGCUCGAAGCUUUCAAUCUCAUUGUUCCGCCGAGUCUGCCGAAACAUCGUCUGCACGUGCUCCAUCCAAGGUACCCCAUUUUCCAAUUCUAUAAUCAGGUUUGCACUUUAAACUAAUGACUUCAUGGUGUAAGGAAGAUGUAAUUUUGAAACGUGAGUGUUUCUUUGCAUUGAAAAGAUAGAGGUUUAGGGGAAAAUGUCAGGGAAAGAAAUGUGGAAUUAGUCUUUUUGUUACUAUCUUUGCAUUAAGAAUAGGGAAAAAUGACAGGGAAAGAACAAUAAGCAAA